Molecule: ribosomal RNA, 460 nt
Filed under: uncultured bacterium
Lineage: Bacteria
Description: partial 16S ribosomal RNA
Rfam family: Bacterial small subunit ribosomal RNA
Source: RNAcentral
CCUACGGGAGGCUGCAGUGAGGAAUAUUGGUCAAUGGACGAGAGUCUGAACCAGCCAAGUAGCGUGAAGGAUGACUGCCCUAUGGGUUGUAAACUUCUUUUAUAUGGGAAUAAAAUGUUCCACGUGUGGGAUUUUGUAUGUACCAUAUGAAUAAGGAUCGGCUAACUCCGUGCCAGCAGCCGCGGUAAUACGGAGGAUCCGAGCGUUAUCCGGAUUUAUUGGGUUUAACGGGAGCGUAGGUGGAUUGUUAAGUCAGUUGUGAAAGUUUGCGGCUCAACCGUAAAAUUGCAGUUGAAACUGGCAGUCUUGAGUACAGUAGAGGUGGGCGGAAUUCGUGGUGUAGCGGUGAAAUGCUUAGAUAUCACGAAGAACUCCGAUGGCGAAGGCAGUUCACUGGACUGCAACUGACACUGAGGCUCGAAAGUGUGGGUAUCAAACAGGAUUAGAUACCCUUGUAGUC